This 554-nucleotide long non-coding RNA is filed under the name Parus major (Great Tit). RNAcentral's name for it is "lncRNA (ENSPMJG00000003719.1)". Lineage: Eukaryota; Metazoa; Chordata; Aves; Passeriformes; Paridae. The record is from RNAcentral.
UUUGAAGUGAGCAUUUUCCUGUACAGAAACAAAGACUGAAGAUAUGAAAACUCUGAGAAACCUCCUUCUCUCUCAGUUGUACUGUUUGCAAGGCUUCCUGCUCCCUGGAAAACCACAUUCUGAAUUAACCCAAUCGCAUUAAACCAAAUAGAUCAGAAAUCUUCUCUUGGGCUCUGCUAUCAGUUGUCACCAAGACCAGAAUAAUUUUCAAGUCAUCAUAUAAACGAAUCAGAAUAACUGUGACUCAACAAGAACAGCAUAAACCUGGCUGCUCUAAUAUCUACUGUUUCUCAUAGAACCAGUACUCUCAUCAGUUUUACAACAUGGAGAGAUGAGACCCUGCCUGAAUCAAUAGUCUUCUUUAUAUGCAUCAUAUCCAUCUUACAGCUUUGUCCAAAGAGCACCGUGGCACUGGGAUACUUGAACUGGUUAGCUGCACCAGGGGAGAGGAAACAAUGAGAUACAACUUCCGAGACAACAGUGAACUGAAACCUCUCCAUAAGGAAUGCUUGUGGAUCGUGACUUCACCUCAAGCCUACAGGCAUGAAUUGAAG